Molecule: ribosomal RNA, 369 nt
Filed under: uncultured organism
Description: partial 16S ribosomal RNA
Rfam family: Bacterial small subunit ribosomal RNA
Source: RNAcentral
GGAGGGUGCAAGCGUUGUCCGGAUUUAUUGGGUUUAAAGGGUGCGUAGGCGGAUUGUUAAGUCAGUGGUGAAAGUCUGCGGCUCAACCGUAGAAGUGCCAUUGAUACUGGCAGUCUUGAGUACAGUAGAGGUAGGCGGAAUUUAUGGUGUAGCGGUGAAAUGCAUAGAUACCAUAAAGAACACCUAUAGCGAAGGCAGCUUACUAUGCUGUAACUGACGCUGAGGCACGAAAGCGUGGGGGGAGCGAACAGGAUUAGAUACCCUGGUAGUCCACGCUGUAAACGAUGAUGACUCGCUGUUGGCGAUACACAGUCAGUGGCCAAGCGAAAGCGUUAAGUCAUCCACCUGGGGAGUACGAUCGCAAGAUUG